This 253-nucleotide ribosomal RNA is filed under the name uncultured bacterium. RNAcentral's name for it is "partial 16S ribosomal RNA". It matches the Rfam family "Bacterial small subunit ribosomal RNA", at positions 524 to 776 of the family's 1533-position model. The record is from RNAcentral.
UACGAAGGGGGCUAGCGUUGCUCGGAAUCACUGGGCGUAAAGGGUGCGUAGGCGGGUCUUUAAGUCAGAGGUGAAAUCCUGGAGCUCAACUCCAGAACUGCCUUUGAUACUGAGGAUCUUGAGUUCGGGAGAGGUGAGUGGAACUGCGAGUGUAGAGGUGAAAUUCGUAGAUAUUCGCAAGAACACCAGUGGCGAAGGCGGCUCACUGGCCCAAUACUGACGCUGAGGCACGAAAGCGUGGGGAGCAAACAGG